GGAAUCAACGCUGGCGGCGUGCCUAACACAUGCAAGUCGAACGAGAAAGUGGAGCAAUCCAUGAGUAAAGUGGCGCACGGGUGAGUAACACGUGACUAACCUACCCUUGAGUGGGGGAUAACCUAGAGAAAUCUGGGCUAAUACCGCAUAAUACCUUCGGGUCAAAGGAGCAAUUCGCUUAAGGAGGGGUCGCGGCCGAUUAGUUAGUUGGCGGGGUAAUGGCCCACCAAGACUGUGAUCGGUA
RNAcentral lists this ribosomal RNA (244 nucleotides) under uncultured bacterium. RNAcentral describes it as "partial small subunit ribosomal RNA". It matches the Rfam family "Bacterial small subunit ribosomal RNA", at positions 27 to 285 of the family's 1533-position model. The record is from RNAcentral.